This 282-nucleotide long non-coding RNA is filed under the name Homo sapiens (human). RNAcentral describes it as "non-protein coding lnc-VN1R2-5:6". The record is from RNAcentral. Lineage: Eukaryota; Metazoa; Chordata; Mammalia; Primates; Hominidae.
AGACCCGGAAGCGGAUCGCGGGGAGUGAAGGCUGCGCCGCCGAGCCUGAGUUUCGCUCUCUCUAGAUUAAAUCUGCGCUUCGCAGUCCCCCUUCUUCCAUCCCCCGGGUCUGGAGGGGUCCCUACAGAUCUUAAAAUGACCACACCGCGCCCUCCACCCCAGAUUAACCUUUAAAGACUCAUGUGGCCUGAGGAAGAAGUCCAGAAGAGAAGAAAGAGGAGACAGGGAUGGCUCUUUCUCAAGGAAGGUUGACAUUCAGGGACGUGGCCAUCGAAUUCUCUC